Molecule: ribosomal RNA, 159 nt
Filed under: Triticum aestivum (bread wheat)
Lineage: Eukaryota; Viridiplantae; Streptophyta; Magnoliopsida; Poales; Poaceae
Description: partial small subunit ribosomal RNA
Source: RNAcentral
AUCAAGCUCCUGUGCUAGAACAUUAGGGGCUUCGGCAACCUGGGCCACCGUCGCCAGCUGAUUGAUUACAUCCGGCAGGAAGAUAUUGACGUAGUAGGUCUUCAGGAGACGAUUCGUCAGGAGUUCUCCAUUCAGGAGUUACAUGGGCUCUCUCGACAC